Molecule: long non-coding RNA, 264 nt
Filed under: Elaeis guineensis (African oil palm)
Lineage: Eukaryota; Viridiplantae; Streptophyta; Magnoliopsida; Arecales; Arecaceae
Description: long non-coding RNA (EGUI_LNC079049)
Source: RNAcentral
CACCUCAUAUAAGAUCCAUAAGCCCUUUAAUCAUGAGACACACCCAACUUGAUCAAAUCAAGGUGGCGCUUAAGAAUAACUAUCAAGAAAAUUAAUUAGGAUCUUGCACCCUUAAUUAAUAUGAUCCAAAAUCUUAGACAUCCAAUAAUUGGAGUCCAAUAAAUCUAAUUCAUAUAGGUUAUUAGCAUAUAAUUAAGUUUGAAUUAUCUUAUCAAAUAAAAAAUCUAAUUGUUGCUCCUAGAUUGAUUUUGAUGAUUACAAAGC